RNAcentral lists this unclassified non-coding RNA (446 nucleotides) under Hevea brasiliensis (rubber tree). The record is from RNAcentral. Lineage: Eukaryota; Viridiplantae; Streptophyta; Magnoliopsida; Malpighiales; Euphorbiaceae.
AUUUUUUGAAUUUUUUUUUCUUUUGGAAUAUAUCAUGUUUCUUCCUUAUUUUUAAAGUUUUGUUUUAUUGAAGUGAAGAUCGUGUGAAAAUUCGAAUUUUUCUUUUUCGUAAUCUCUUUAAUUUUUUAGCUUUUUGUUGUUCUUGUUGCUAUGGGUAGAAACGUUCAGGAACUGUUUUGAUUUUGGUAAGAAUUUUGGUUUGCCAUUAUAUUGUAUGGAGUAGCUAAAGGUGAGUGUUCGAUUUUCUACUUUUUGGAAUGCCAAGACAAAGAUUUUAUAUGCUACCUACACUUUUUGAGGUUAUCUGGGGAGCUACUCUUUUUCAUCACAAGAUGAUGUGUGCUGCUAGAAUCCUGGUUUUUUUUCUUUAGCUUGUUUAGUUUACGUGAUAGAAUGUUGGCUGAGAAGCUUAACUGUUUUGGCAUAUUUUAUCCAUAUAUUUUAAA